AGCAGCCGCGGUAAUUCCAGCUCCAAUAGCGUAUAUUAAAGUUGCUGCAGUUAAAAAGCUCGUAGUUGAAUUUCGGGAUCAAUAUGUCGGUCGUGCCUCGGUACGUACUGGUUUAUUGGUUUCUCCUUUCUGAAGAACCAUGAUGUCAUUUAUUUGGUGUCGUGUGGAAUCAGGACUGUUACUUUGAAAAAAUUAGAGUGUUUAAAGCAGGCUCACGCUUGAAUACAUUAGCAUGGAAUAAUGAAAUAGGACGUUUGAUUCUAUUUUGUUGGUUUCUAGGAUCGACGUAAUGAUUAAUAGGGAUAGUUGGGGGCAUUAGUAUUCAAUUGUCAGAGGUGAAAUUCUUGGAUUUAUUGAAGACUAACUACUGCGAAAGCAUUUGCCAAGGAUGUUUUCAUUAAUCAAGAACGAAAGUUAGGGGAUCGAAGACGAUCAGAUACCGUCGUAGUCUUAACCAUAAACUAUGCCGACUAGGGAUCGGAUGAUGUUAAUUUUUUAAUGACUCAUUCGGCGCCUUACG
RNAcentral lists this ribosomal RNA (520 nucleotides) under uncultured Glomeraceae. RNAcentral describes it as "SSU rRNA". It matches the Rfam family "Eukaryotic small subunit ribosomal RNA", at positions 569 to 1092 of the family's 1831-position model. Lineage: Eukaryota; Fungi; Glomeromycota; Glomeromycetes; Glomerales; Glomeraceae. The record is from RNAcentral.